AGGGCUCCCCUCAUUUCUCAAGCAGAGAAUCACAAAAGUACAAUCUCUAAAAACAUCUAAACAUAAUCAAAGCCGACCAAAUCACAUCAAUCUCAUCCCACGAGCAAGAAAACACCCAACACAGCAUAAGAGAGAGAGAGAGAGACCAGGGCGACGAAGGAGACGAGCGCAUAGGCGGCACAGAGAGCGUAGAAAACACCGUCCUGCCACUGGGUGGAGUCGUUGAUCUCGUCCCACCAGCUGGCGACGAGGGCCGCGACCUCCAUUGGCGACAGACCCGCCACUCGCAGGCUCCUCCCCAUGCUCCUCUCACUCCAGAGAAGCAGCUCCCUCUCGAACCAACAACAGCCCACAAAAAAAAAACAAAAAAAAACAAAACCUUUCGUACCGACCGAACCACUCCA
Syzygium oleosum is the source of this 404-nucleotide long non-coding RNA. RefSeq lists it as uncharacterized. NCBI's taxonomy places the organism in Eukaryota, Viridiplantae, Streptophyta, Magnoliopsida, Myrtales, Myrtaceae. The transcript has 2 exons. The record is from RefSeq and is a predicted model, not a curated record.